UGCCAGGUGUCAAUAAUAUUUGGUUAGCUCUGCCCAGUGAUACUAAUUUUAACGGCCGCAGUACACUGACUGUGCAAAGGUAGCAUAAUCAUUUGGCUUUUAAAUGAAGUCGGGUAUGAACGAGUUAAUGGAAAUAAGCUGUCUCAAUAAGGGGUUGUAUAGAACUUACUUAGAAAGUGAAAAUGCUUUCAAUUUAUCUUUAAAAGACGAGAAGACCCUAUAAAAUUUCCAUUAAAAUAAUAUACAUAUUAUUAUUUCAUUUUUGUUGGGGCAACAGGUUAACAAAAGAAAUUACAAAUUUAACUUAAGAAUUUACCAAUUUAUCAGGUUUUACAAGAGAAAAGAAAAUUACUUUAGGGAUAACAGCAUAAUUUUUCAUAAAGAUUGUGACCUCGAUGUUGGACUAGGGACUAAUUAAGUCAAACACAUAAUUAGAAGGUUCUGUUCGAACUUCUUUUACCU
This 462-nucleotide ribosomal RNA is filed under the name Quadriplicata pumiliformis. RNAcentral describes it as "partial 16S ribosomal RNA". Lineage: Eukaryota; Metazoa; Mollusca; Gastropoda; Stylommatophora; Clausiliidae. The record is from RNAcentral.